AGAGUUUGAUCAUGGCUCAGAACGAACGCUGGCGGCGUGGCUAAGGCAUGCAAGUCGAACGGACUCGGAGUUUGGGUAACUGAAUUCCGGGUUAGUGGCGGACGGGUGAGGAAUACAUGGAUAACGUACCCCGGGCACGGGAAUAGCGGCGUCCCGAGAAAUCGGGACUUUGCGUAAGCGCCGGUAAUACCCGAUGAUCCCGCGGGAGCACAUGCUCCUGCGGGCAAAGCCCCGACGGCCUGGGAUCGGUCCAUGUCCUAUCAGCUAGUUGGUGAGGUAACGGCUCACCAAGGCGACGACGGGUAGCGGGUGUGAGAGCAUGACCCGCCACAUCGGGACUGAGACACUGCCCGGACACCUACGGGUGGCUGCAGCAACGAAUAUUCCGCAAUGGGCGCAAGCCUGACGGAGCGACGCCGCGUGCAGGAUGAAGUCUCUCGGGAUGUAAACUGCUGUCAGGGGCUAGAAAGCAAGUGAUCAGCCCCAGAGGAAGCCUCGGCAAACUCCGUGCCAGCAGCCGCGGUAAUACGGAGGAGGCAAGCGUUGUUCGGAAUCACUGGGCUUAAAGGGCGUGUAGGCGGAAUGCAAGGUGCUUUGUGAAAUCCCCCGGCUUAACCGGGGAACUGCUUGGCAAACCAGCAUUCUUGAGGCAGGCAGGGGCGACUGGAACCUUUGGUGGAGAGGUGAAAUUCGUAGAUAUCAAAGGGAAUGCCGAUGGCGAAAGCGAGUCGCUGGGCCUGUCCUGACGCUGAGGCGCGAAAGCGUAGGGA
This 770-nucleotide ribosomal RNA is filed under the name uncultured bacterium. Its description in RNAcentral is "bacterial SSU rRNA". It matches the Rfam family "Bacterial small subunit ribosomal RNA", at positions 8 to 767 of the family's 1533-position model. The record is from RNAcentral.